AAUUGACUUGUGGCAGCCAAGCGUUCAUAGCGACGUUGCUUUUUGAUCCUUCGAUAUCAGCUCUUCUUAUCAUACUAAAGCAGAAGUCAGUAAGCGCUGGAUUAUUCACCCUCUAAUAGGGAACGUGAGCUGGGUUUACACCGUCGUGAGACAGGUU
This 157-nucleotide non-coding RNA is filed under the name Linnemannia elongata AG-77. Its description in RNAcentral is "Mortierella elongata AG-77 Eukaryotic large subunit ribosomal RNA". It matches the Rfam family "Eukaryotic large subunit ribosomal RNA", at positions 2828 to 2984 of the family's 3401-position model. The record is from Rfam by way of RNAcentral. Lineage: Eukaryota; Fungi; Mortierellomycota; Mortierellomycetes; Mortierellales; Mortierellaceae.